Molecule: non-coding RNA, 363 nt
Organism: Pelobates cultripes (western spadefoot toad)
Lineage: Eukaryota; Metazoa; Chordata; Amphibia; Anura; Pelobatidae
Source: the annotation of a GenBank genome assembly
UUAGGAGAGACAUUAGGCUCCAGGAAAGGAUAACAAUUAAACAGAUCUGAUCUUUUACAGCAGAUAGAAACAUGGAAGAAUGGGUGGGACGAACAUGUUUUUCUGAUCUCAAAGCCAUGGCGUACAAUAAAACAAAGUGAAGGAGGGAUUUGUGCUACAAAGGAUCCAAGCAUAUAUGCUUCAUUACAGUUCACGUUUUAUUACAGAUUUUUAGAUCUGCAAAUGAUAAUGAAGAGCUUACGGUAACAGGAUGUUACAAGGUAAAAUGCAAUCUGAGCCCCAUUCACAGCAACCACAAAAAUUGAGAGCGAGUGAGAGAAAGAAAUGAAAGAACCAAAUAGUUUUUGUUUUACCAAAAUGCUG